AAUAAAUGUAAUUCUGUAUUAUUCAUGUCCAACGUUUGAUCGUUCGUUUUAUUUGAAAAUUUUUAUGAUUAAUAUUUUUGUUGUUAUUAGAUGAUAAAACAUGAAUAGUACUUUAUGUAUGACUAAUUUUUUAAUUUUUUUAUAAACUUUUUAAAUAAGACGGAUGGUUAAACGUUGAACAUGGAUAUCCACAUCUGCAUAUUUA
Non-coding RNA from Oryza glumipatula, 205 nucleotides. The record is from Rfam. NCBI's taxonomy places the organism in Eukaryota, Viridiplantae, Streptophyta, Magnoliopsida, Poales, Poaceae.